This 414-nucleotide ribosomal RNA is filed under the name uncultured microorganism. RNAcentral's name for it is "bacterial SSU rRNA". It matches the Rfam family "Archaeal small subunit ribosomal RNA", at positions 459 to 872 of the family's 1478-position model. The record is from RNAcentral.
CAGCCGCCGCGGUAAUACCGGCGGCCCGAGUGGCGGUCACUAUUAUUGGGCUUAAAGCGUCCGUAGCCGGGUUGGGAAGUCCUCCGGGAAAUCUGGCCGCUUAAAGGUCAGAAUGCCGGAGGAUACUCCCAGCCUAGGGAGCGGGAGAGGCCGAGGCUAUUCCCGGAGUAGGGGGGAAAUCCUAUAAUCCCGGGAGGACCACCUGUGGCGAAGGCGCUCGGCUGGAACGCGUCCGACGGUGAGGGACGAAGGCCAGGGGAGCAAACCGGAUUAGAUACCCGGGUAGUCCUGGCUGUAAACGAUGCGGACUUUGUGUCGGACAAGCUAUGAGCUUGUCCGGUGCCGGAGGGAAACCGUUAAGUCCGCCGCCUGGGGAGUACGGCCGCAAGGUUGAAACUUAAAGGAAUUGGCGGG